Molecule: ribosomal RNA, 497 nt
Filed under: uncultured bacterium
Lineage: Bacteria
Description: partial 16S ribosomal RNA
Rfam family: Bacterial small subunit ribosomal RNA
Source: RNAcentral
GACGAACGCUGGCGGCGUGCCUAAUACAUGCAAGUUGAGCGCUGAAGGUUGGUACUUGUACCAACUGGAUGAGCAGCGAACGGGUGAGUAACGCGUGGGGAAUCUGCCUUUGAGCGGGGGACAACAUUUGGAAACGAAUGCUAAUACCGCAUAAAAACUUUAAACACAAGUUUUAAGUUUGAAAGAUGCAAUUGCAUCACUCAAAGAUGAUCCCGCGUUGUAUUAGCUAGUUGGUGAGGUAAAGGCUCACCAAGGCGAUGAUACAUAGCCGACCUGAGAGGGUGAUCGGCCACAUUGGGACUGAGACACGGCCCAAACGCCUACGGGAGGCAGCAGUAGGGAAUCUUCGGCAAUGGACGAAAGUCUGAACGAGCAACGCCGCGUGAGUGAAGAAGGGUUUCGGAUCGUAAAACUCUGUUGGUAGAGAAGAACGUUGGUGAGAGUGGAAAGCGCAUCAAGUGACGGUAACUACCCAGAAAGGGACGGCUAACUACGUG